This 459-nucleotide ribosomal RNA is filed under the name uncultured bacterium. RNAcentral's name for it is "partial 16S ribosomal RNA". It matches the Rfam family "Bacterial small subunit ribosomal RNA", at positions 338 to 795 of the family's 1533-position model. The record is from RNAcentral.
CCUACGGGUGGCAGCAGUGAGGAAUAUUGGUCAAUGGGCGCAAGCCUGAACCAGCCAAGUCGCGUGAGGGAAGACGGUCCUAUGGAUUGUAAACCUCUUUUGUCGGGGAGCAAAAGACGCCACGCGUGGCGUUCCGAGAGUCCCCGAAGAAAAAGCAUCGGCUAACUCCGUGCCAGCAGCCGCGGUAAUACGGAGGAUGCGAGCGUUAUCCGGAUUUAUUGGGUUUAAAGGGUGCGCAGGCGGAAGAUCAAGUCAGCGGUAAAAUUGAGAGGCUCAACCUCUUCGAGCCGUUGAAACUGGUGUUCUUGAGUGAGUGAGAAGUAUGCGGAAUGCGGGGUGUAGCGGUGAAAUGCAUAGAUAUCACGCAGAACUCCGAUUGCGAAGGCAGCAUACCGGCGCUCAACUGACGCUCAUGCACGAAAGUGUGGGUAUCGAACAGGAUUAGAUACCCCAGUAGUC